This is a small nucleolar RNA of Ornithorhynchus anatinus (platypus), 138 nucleotides long. Lineage: Eukaryota; Metazoa; Chordata; Mammalia; Monotremata; Ornithorhynchidae. The record is from RefSeq and is a predicted model, not a curated record.
CUCCUCUCAGAGUCGCAUCUGGAGUGUUUCCAGUACUCUACCAGCCUGGGCUACUGGAGGGAGAGUCAAGCAGAGGCCCAUCCAUUCCAUUCCUAGCUUGGGCAGUGGCUAGUGAGUGGAAGGCAAACUGCUACAUGU